GGGAGCACCGGGACGGGAAUGCUCGGGGCACCCUGACGGGAAUCCAGCUCUUCCUUGCAUGAUCCCAUUGCUGUCAUCAUCAGCUGUGUUCGGGUGAAACCACAAACAGGAUCUGCAGUGUCCUCAUGAAGGUUUGAAAUGCAGCCUGAUCUUUCAAAACAGCUCAAGUUUGGUUAAACCCACAGAGGUCCAAGGUGUUCUGUGCCUGCAUUCUGCCUGACUUUGGCUGGAACCUUUGCUGAUGAUUGUGACUGAGUUCUGAGCAAGAUGAAGAGGAAGGAGGAACAAGAGAAACAUCUUUGAACAGUGGUGACAAAAUCCAGGUCCUGUUCUCAGUAACGUUGUGUGAUCCCAAUGUUUCACUGGUUCAUGGCAGCUCUGAA
Ficedula albicollis (Collared flycatcher) is the source of this 383-nucleotide long non-coding RNA. RefSeq lists it as uncharacterized. The transcript is spliced from 3 exons. The record is from RefSeq and is a predicted model, not a curated record. NCBI's taxonomy places the organism in Eukaryota, Metazoa, Chordata, Aves, Passeriformes, Muscicapidae.